This 312-nucleotide ribosomal RNA is filed under the name Triticum aestivum (bread wheat). Its description in RNAcentral is "partial small subunit ribosomal RNA". Lineage: Eukaryota; Viridiplantae; Streptophyta; Magnoliopsida; Poales; Poaceae. The record is from RNAcentral.
AUGGGCUUGCAACUAGGGAAAAAGGUUGAGCCCCAGUUGCGAGUCGACGGUGGACUUGCAUCUGGGACAAAAAAUGUGAAGUCCCAGUUGCAAGUCAAGAACGUACUUGCAACUGGGACAAAAGAUGGUCGGACCCUAGUUGCGAGUCGAGAGUGGACUUGCAACUGGGACAAAAUGAUCAGGUUCCAGUUGCGAGUCGAGGGUGGCUUGCAACUUGGACAAAAAAUGAUCAAGCGCCAAUUGCGAGUCGAGGGGACAAAAGCGAAGACUAACAUGCCUAGGCCAACAACAAGAUACGCAAAAAACAAAUAG